Molecule: ribosomal RNA, 250 nt
Filed under: uncultured prokaryote
Description: partial 16S ribosomal RNA
Rfam family: Bacterial small subunit ribosomal RNA
Source: RNAcentral
UACGUAGGGGGCGAGCGUUGUCCGGAAUGAUUGGGCGUAAAGGGCGCGUAGGCGGCCUUAUAAGUCUGGAGUGAAAGUCCUGCCUUCAAGGUGGGAAUUGCUUUGGAUACUGUAGGGCUUGAGUGCAGGAGAGGUAAGUGGAAUUCCCAGUGUAGCGGUGAAAUGCGUAGAGAUUGGGAGGAACACCAGUGGCGAAGGCGACUUACUGGACUGUAACUGACGCUGAGACGCGAAAGCCAGGGUAGCAAAC